Molecule: ribosomal RNA, 494 nt
Filed under: uncultured bacterium
Lineage: Bacteria
Description: partial 16S ribosomal RNA
Rfam family: Bacterial small subunit ribosomal RNA
Source: RNAcentral
GACGAACGCUGGCGGCGUGCUAAACACAUGCAAGUCGAACGGUGAAGCGCCUUCCUUUUUGGUGGGUGUGGAUGAGUGGCGAACGGGUGAGUAACACGUGAGUAACCUGCCCCCUUCUUCUGGAUAACCGCAUGAAAGUGUGGCUAAUACGGGAUAUUCUGGGUCUGUCGCAUGAUGGGUCUGGGAAAGAUAUUGUUUCGGUGGGGGAUGGGCUCGCGGCCUAUCAGCUUGUUGGUGGGGUGAUGGCCUACCAAGGCGGUGACGGGUAGCCGGCCUGAGAGGGUGGACGGUCACACUGGGACUGAGACACGACCCAGACUCCUACGGGAGGCAGCAGUGGGGAAUAUUGCACAAUGGGCGCAAGCCUGAUGCAGCGACGCCGCGUGAGGGAUGGAGGCCUUCGGGUUGUGAACCUCUUUCGCCAGUGAAGCAGGCCUGCCUCGUUUGUGGGUGGGUUGACGGUAGCUGGAUAAGAAGCGCCGGCUAACUACGUG